GUCCCCGCCUGCGUGGUGGUUGCGCCGGGCCGAUCCAGGGAGGCUCCCGUUGCCGCCGCGCUCCGGAAAGCCUGAGGGGCCACCGUCGGCGCCUGGCGUGGCACUCGCCCCGCACUCGUCGAAGCGCAGGCUGAGCAGCACAGCGAGCAUUGUGACCGCGAGCAAUGCCACGAGGGACACAGCGAAGGCCAGCACAAGCCGCUUGUGUACGGCGAUGUGGCGCUCCGUGGUGCGGGGUCGCACUCCCACUGAGUCUGCCCACGGGUCGGAGAGCCCCCUGCUGCCAGCCCGAAGCGCGGCGUCGUCUUCCCCCAUCGCGGCUGCGAAGGCGGCGGCGUUCGGUCCUCUGGGUGGAAUGUGCUCGCAGCAGCAGUGACGGCGGCCACAGCACGGGAGGCACCCGAGCCAUACACCCUGCAGCUGGAGAGAAAAGGAUGGCCGAGGUGGGAGAGACUAGAGUGAACCAGCAGGAGGAAGUCCCAGGGCCGCGAAGCUACGACGGAGAUCCGUCCUGGAAAAGCCUUCUCCACCCUGGGCACUUUAAGCGGCGGUGGCGGCAAACGGCAGGAGGUUGCAGACCCGACAGCGAGACUCCCUCAUUCCAGUCUUGCUCUGCCCUCCGGAGAUGACAAGUGAGAAAGAAGUGUCCGGCCGGGCCAUCCCCUUCAGGGAAUGUAACAUCUCAAGUUAAAGAGGAACUGCCCGGAACAGCCCGGGGAUUGUUCCUCUCUCCUGAGAAGGAAGAUUACCUCCAAAGCUCAUCCACUGAGUCACACUGCCCCUGUGGUGGAGGGCGGGCUGCCUUUCCAGGUUCCUCAGCUGUGGUGUAACUGAAGCAGGCACAAUCAAGACUCCAUCUGCUCGAGGCAGCUUUCUCGAACCUUGGGGAACCUACUCACAAUGGAUCACAGGCUUCUUUUGUUUUGUUUCUUGCUGCCUAUCUUGGGAAGCAAAAAUCAGCUGAGUGAAGAUGAGGAAGAAGGUGUUAAAGGUUUGAAGAAAAAAGGAAAAGGAUAUACUAAUCUAAGAGGACAAGUAAGUAGAACAUAGAUAAUGAAAAUGCUGGCCCUUAGGACUGUUGGGCCUAAAUGCUCAUAUUAUAUUGGUAGUCACAAAUUUGAACUUUCUCUAGAGCCAAUUUUUGCAUGUGUGUGCAGGCCUGGAGUAGUUGGAGAGUUGGAUUUAAUAGAAUUGAGGGUCAAGCAACUACAACCAGGGAAGAGUGGGACAAGGGAGAUAAAGGAUAUUGGCAGGGGAGCAAUUAUAAACAUGGACCAUGAUCAAAACUGGACAGGAAGGAAAAUAGAGAUAAGAGGGGUGGAAGGUUAAAAAUAGUGAAAAUGAGAUAGAAUGAAUAGGUUGUAGGUCCCUGUAAAGUUGAAGAAGUAUUAUUAUGCAGUACUCGUUAUUGAAAUGAGGUCACUAUGCUUAAGGCACAGUGAAUCCUAGAAAAUAGUGGUUUUGUUUCUCAUUAGGCAAUACAUUCCUCCUUGCUCCAGAAUGCAACAUACAUGUAUCCUUUUCUGUACUAUUUUUUAUUAAGAAUUCAUACUUAAUUCCACUGACUGCCACUCAAUUUUAAUGUACAGUAGGGAAUUCCUGUACUAUGUAUUAUGAAUCCAUUCCUUUGAAUUUCAUUUAUAAUACUUCAUGACUGACACCUGGCUUUCCACCAAGACUCAAUUUUCAUAGCAAGCCUCAUCAUCAUAAGCCCCCAAAUUAACAGGAUGAGGAGGAAGAAUUGGCAGGCUAAAGAAGAUGAUUAUAUCAAUUAAUGCAGAAAAAGCAUUUGAUAAAAUCCAAUAUUCAUUUGUAAUUAAAAACUCUCAGCAAGUUAGGGAUAGGAAUUACUUCAACUUAAUGAAGAGUGUCUUUAAAAACCUUAUUUUCAUCAGUUAUAACAAAUGUACCACUCUGGUGGUGAAUGUUGCUAAGGAGGGAAGCUAUACAUGUGUGGGGAAAGGAGAUGUGUGAGCAAUUUCUGUACCUUCUACUCAAUCUUCUGUG
Molecule: long non-coding RNA, 2007 nt
Organism: Homo sapiens (human)
Lineage: Eukaryota; Metazoa; Chordata; Mammalia; Primates; Hominidae
Gene: TRHDE-AS1
Product: TRHDE antisense RNA 1
Source: Ensembl